Non-coding RNA from Heterocephalus glaber (naked mole-rat), 400 nucleotides. The record is from RefSeq and is a predicted model, not a curated record. Lineage: Eukaryota; Metazoa; Chordata; Mammalia; Rodentia; Bathyergidae.
CCCCAAGUUUCUGUUAUUCCUUCUUUUAUUGGAGCUGGUUUCACCCUGCUCUGUCACACCCUAGGGCGAGUCUGUCACACCCUAGGGCGAGUCUGUCACGCAGGCAGAUCAGCUGACUUGAGAGAUUGCUUGCCCUUGGAACACUGAACCAUGUCUUGGGUCCCAGAAAGGGCUGGUCAGCUGAUCUGAAUAGCCCUAAGCUGCUUUUAUGUUUGUUUCUCUUGCUCUCUCUGUUCUGGUGCUGGGAAUCAAUGAAGCCAGGACCUUGUGCAUGCUAGACACCCAGCCCCACCAGAAGCCCCCUGGUGGAAGUACUGGCCCUGAGAAACAAGGCUGGAUGGACUUAUACUUCAGAAAUGACCCCAAAUUUUAUGCAGACCUUACCAGUUGCAGAAUGAAG